UUCGAUUCCGGAGAGGGAGCCUGAGAAACGGCUACNNNNNNNNNNNNNNGCAGCAGGCGCGCAAAUUACCCAAUCCCGANNNNGGGAGGUAGUGACAAUAAAUAACAAUACGGGGCUCAUUUGGGUCUCGUAAUUGGAAUGAGUACAAUUUAAAUCUCUUAACGAGGAACAAUUGGAGGGCAAGUCUGGUGCCAGCAGCCGCGGUAAUUCCAGCUCCAAUAGCGUAUAUUAAAGUUGUUGCAGUUAAAAAGCUCGUAGUUGAACUUCGGGGUCUACCCAUUGGUCAGGCUUAAUUGUCUGCACUGGUGAGAUGGAUCUCUACCUUCUGAGGAACUUUCAUGCCAUUUAUUUGGUGUGAUGGGAAAUCAGGACUGUUACUUUGAAAAAAUUAGAGUGUUUAAAGCAGACUAUCGUCUGAAUACAUUAGCAUGGAAUAAUGAAAUAGGACGGACUGAUUCUAUUUCGUUGGUUUCUAGGAUCACCGUAAUGAUUAAUAGGGAUAGUUGGGGGCAUUAGUAUUCAAUUGUCAGAGGUGAAAUUCUUGGAUUUAUUGAAGACUAACUACUGCGAAAGCAUUUGCCAAGGAUGUUUUCAUUAAUCAAGAACGAAAGUUAGGGGAUCGAAGACGAUCAGAUACCGUCGUAGUCUUAACCAUAAACUAUGCCGACUAGGGAUCGGACGAAGUUAAUUUUAUAAUGACGCGUUCGGCACCUUACGGGAAACCA
RNAcentral lists this ribosomal RNA (725 nucleotides) under uncultured Glomeromycotina. Its description in RNAcentral is "partial small subunit ribosomal RNA". It matches the Rfam family "Eukaryotic small subunit ribosomal RNA", at positions 376 to 1100 of the family's 1831-position model. Lineage: Eukaryota; Fungi; Glomeromycota. The record is from RNAcentral.